This 22-nucleotide microRNA is filed under the name Monodelphis domestica (gray short-tailed opossum). Its description in RNAcentral is "mdo-miR-7347-3p". The record is from miRBase by way of RNAcentral. Lineage: Eukaryota; Metazoa; Chordata; Mammalia; Didelphimorphia; Didelphidae.
CAUUUUGAUCAAUUGACUUGGC